RNAcentral lists this ribosomal RNA (253 nucleotides) under uncultured bacterium. RNAcentral's name for it is "partial 16S ribosomal RNA". It matches the Rfam family "Bacterial small subunit ribosomal RNA", at positions 524 to 776 of the family's 1533-position model. The record is from RNAcentral.
UACAGAGGUCCCGAGCGUUGUUCGGAUUCACUGGGCGUAAAGGGUGCGCGGGUGGGUUGGCAAGUUUGAUGUGAAAGCCCCGGGCUUAACCCGGGAAUGGCAUUGAAUACUGCUGAUCUGGAGGAUCGGAGGGGGGACUGGAAUUCUUGGUGUAGCAGUGAAAUGCGUAGUUAUCAAGAGGAACACCAGUGGCGAAGGCGAGUCCCUGGACGAUACCUGACACUGAGGCACGAAAGCCGGGGGAGCAAACAGG